Leguminivora glycinivorella is the source of this 2089-nucleotide RNA transcript. It is a transcript of the gene named DDB1- and CUL4-associated factor 10 homolog, with no coding region annotated. The record is from RefSeq and is a predicted model, not a curated record. Lineage: Eukaryota; Metazoa; Arthropoda; Insecta; Lepidoptera; Tortricidae. The transcript has 12 exons.
CACACUCUUUGAUUCUCAUACUGUGAGAAUUGCAAGUAUUUUAGUAAAGAGCUAUGGAUAAUUAAUUAAUGUAUCUAUCCAAAUCAAUUAUCACUUAAAACGAUGUAGUGACUUAAUUGUUACGUUCCAGAUAUUGUUGCAUUUACUGCUAUGUAUUGUACUUAAUAAAGUAACUUAUAUUGAUUCCGCCCUAGUCUUGUAUAGUAUAGCGUUUUGCGAUGGGUAAUAAAGACGAUACUGUGUUCCUGGCGAAGUAUUCAGCCUUCAGCCCAUACCGGUUGUUCCGGCGUGAGGUGGGGUUCGCGCCGCCCCUGGGUGCUGGUGACGCGCUGGCCCGUAGCCUCUAUUGUGGCAUGAAACCCAUCGCCUCUUGGAGCUCGGAAGAUGCGAAUGCCCUUCCCACAGGAGGCGUGUUCAACCUUGAAUUUUCACCGGACGGCUCCCUAUUGGUAGCGGCCUGUGAGAAGAAAUCUAUUCAGAUAUUUGACUCACUCACUCACCGGCGGAUACACACAGUCAAUGGAGCUCACUCGGAUUGUGUCAAUUGUGUCAAAUUCCUCGACGGGCGAAUGUUCGCCACAUGCUCCGACGACACAACCAUAGCACUCUGGGACGUCAGGAACCUAAAAAAGAAAAUAUGCUCAUUACUCGGCCACAGCAACUGGGUGAAAAACAUAGAGUUCUCAAUGAAGGACAAGCUCCUUGUCACCUCGGGGUUGGACGGGAGUAUAUACACUUGGGAUAUCAAUUCUUAUUCGGAGUGUAACUUGGUGUACCAAAGAGUGUUCCACGCGAGUGGGCUGAUGCGGUGUAGACUGUCGCCGGACGCGCGGCAGAUGGUGAUGUGUACGACGCGUGGCCUGCUGGUCAUCGUCCAUAAUCUCAACUUGACUACGCUAGCACAGGACUUGCACGGCUUCAAGCCCAACAUGUACAGACUGAUGCAGAUGAGCAACCAGCUGAUCCCGAUAGCGGCGCAGUAUGACCACCUGUUCGACUCCAAGCGAAGCCAGAACCGAAUAGAGUUCAUCAGCGACUUCCCGGAGGGCAACGACGCGGAGGUCGUCAGUGCGUUACAGAUUCAUCCUCUGGGUUGGAGCGCAUUAAGUAGAAAUAUCAGCCACGACGAUAGAUCAGAGUGGUCGUGCAUCCACGACAUCCAGCCGGUGGAGCGGUCGUCGGACAAGUCGGUGGUGGACCCGCCGCCGGUGGCGGUGGCGCUGCCGGCGCGGCGCACGCGACGCCCGCCGCGCCGCCCGCGCCCGCGCCCCUACCGCCAGCCCCGCCCCAUGGCCUCCGUCACGCCCGCGCUGCCCGAGCAACCCGGCACGUCAGCGCUGUUGCGGCGCGCGUGGGCCGAGCACCGCGCCGCCGCGCCGCGCGCGCCCGCCGUGCCGCCCGCCGCGCGCGCGCCGAGCCCCGGCUCGGCGGGGACUUAUCCUCUAUUCAGAACGAUGUAUGGGAGGCGUCCAUCACGAUCAAACAACACAGAAUGCUGCAAGAGUUGGCCGGCAGGGGCCAGGGGCACCGCAACUUCAACAUGCAGCGCAUCAUGGGCAUCAACACCGGUAUCGCGCCGCCCGCUGCGCGCGCGCGCCCCAGGCCACGCGCCGACGAAGAUGAGGAGAGCACAUCACCAUCAACGUCCGGGCAGACGCCGCGGGCGGCGUCAGCGUCACCGGAGCCAGAGAGCGAGGGCAUCAAGUACUUCAUCCGGCAGAACCGCGAGCGCCUGCUCUACUACGUCGAGGAGACCAACGAGGGGAAGGGGUUCAUCAAGGAAUUAUGCUACUCGGCGGACGGGCGGCUAGUGUGCUCACCCUUCGGCUGCGGCAUGCGGCUGCUGGCGCUCAACGAGCGCUGCGGGGAGCUGUCGCACUGCGUCGAGGGCUUCAGCGGCCCCAAGCCCAUGGUGGACGUAGGACAAAGUCUAGGCCACCACCAGGACCUGGUGGUGAGCUGCAAGUUCAGCCCGCGCUACCACCUGCUCGUGACCGGCUGCCUCGAGGGCAAGAUCGUGUGGUACGAGCCCUUCAGCGGAGAGACAAUGUAUUAGAUACUUAAUUAUAUUAGCCCUAUCAAAUAUCUU